UAGGAUGAUAACUUGCUUAGUGGCUGGCCUUCAAAAGGCAGCCUAUCUCCCUGUUAAUUAUGACAAAUUAAACCACAUUACUCAAAGGCCCAAUGAAAACCCGGCAGAAUUUCUUGAGCGCCUUACAGUAGCGCUCCAGCGCUAUACAAGGCUGGACCCAGAGUCACCAGAGGCUAAGGUGGUUCUCAAUACGCAUUUUAUUGCCCAAUCAGCCCCUGAUAUUAGGAAAAAGUUAAAAAAGGCUGAGAACGGUCCUCAGACCCCUCAACGAGAUCUGGUGAGUAUGGCAUUUAAAGUUUUCAAUAAUCGAGAGGAACAGGAGAUUGCCGAUAAGACUGCCCGUGAGAGGGAGAACUAUCAAAUCCUGGCUGCUGCCAUCCGGCCUCCUCUGAGGAGAGGCACCCAACAUACACCACCUGGAGCAUGCUUCAAGUGUGGGCAAGAGGGCCACUGGGCGAAAUUCUGUCCCUCACCACGACCUCCACCUGGACCCUGCCCAAGGUGUGGGCAGCAAGGACAUUGGGGAGUCGAUUGCCCCUCCUCACCUCCACAAGGUAGGCCAGCCCCUCCCCCACCCCGCCCACCCAGGCAGGCGGAGCCAGACAGGUCGGAGAUUUUCUGCUUGGCUACAGAAUGAAGGUGCCCAGGGCCACCUGCUCCCAACAACCAGACCAUCACAAUGACGGAGCCCAGGGUGUGUUUCUAUGUAGCCGGUAAGUUAAUAUCUUUUCUCUUGGAUACGGGAGCGACUUACUCGGUGCUAUGUCAAUAUACAGGCAAGACUUUUCCCUCCCAGAUCUCGGUGGUGGGUGUAGAUGGCCUACCUACCUGUCCCCCAACUACAGGACCAGUAUCAUGUAAAAUAGAAGACUUUCCCUUUUCACACUCCUUCCUAAUCCUACCUCACUGUCCUACCCCACUCCUAGGAAGGGACUUGCUCUCUAAAUUUCAAGUCUCCCUUUCAUUCCAUAUCCCCAAACAGCCUACACCUGUUCUACUUUUAUCUUUAGAUGAACCUCCACCUGUAACUUCCCAACUAGAUCCUUUCCCUUUACCUCCAGAUCUUGUCAACCCUCUUAUCUGGGAUACUUCCACUCCUACUAUGGCUAGACACCAUACUCCUGUCCUGAUUAAACUUAAAAACCCUACCCAUUUUCCUGGUACUUCCCAAUACCCCAUUUCCCUUAGGCACAGGCAAGGUUUAAAACCCAUCAUCCUUCGCCUUAUUAAACAAGGACUUCUCAGACCCACUAACUCCCCCUUUAACACCCCUAUCCUGCCAGUAGUUAAACCUGAUGGGACCUACCGCCUAGUCCAGGACCUGCGCACUAUUAAUGCUGCAGUCCUUCCCAUUCAUCCUGUUGUGCCUAACCCAUAUACCCUCCUUUCACAGAUACCUCCUGGUACCACCCACUUCUCAGUGCUGGACCUCAAGGAUGCAUUCUUCACAAUCCCCCUGCAUCCCGACUGCCAAGAUUUCUUUGCUUUUACUUGGGUGGACCCAGACACUUCAAGGGCACAACAGCUGACCUGGACGGUCCUCCCUCAAGGGUUCCGAGACAGUCCCCAUUUCUUUGGACAGGCUUUAGCAAAGGAUCUCCUCUCUCUUCAGGUGUCUCCUAGCAUUGUUCUCCAGUAUGUGGAUGAUCUUUUGCUUUGCAGCCCUUCCUUUGAGUUGGCUCGCCAACAUACAGCUGACCUCCUCAACUUCCUGUUGACAAAAGGAUAUAGAGUCUCUCCUUCAAAGGCCCAGAUAGCGAAGUCAGAGGUAACAUACUUGGGUUUGUCCAUAACUCCUACAGAGAGAAGAAUUACUCUUGAUAGAAAAGCCUACAUUGAGUCUCUCUCUGUCCCACAGACCAAGGAGGACAUUCUGUCUUUCCUGGGACUUGCAGGCUUCCUUCGUAUUUGGAUACCCGGUUUUGCCACAUUGGCCAAACCUCUUUAUGAGGCAUCCAAAGGUUCCCUAUUGGAGCCACCAGACCCCACAAAGCCCAUUGACACCCCAUUUAAAGUUCUGAAGCAAGCGCUUCUUCGGGCUCCAGCACUGGCUCUACCCAACCUCAAGGAACCCUUUAUACUCUAUGUCACUGAGAAGUGGGGAAUUGGCCUUGGGGUUCUUGGACAAAUGUCAGGCCCCUCCUUUAGACCUGUGGCCUACCUCUCAAAACAGCUAGACCCAACGGUAAAAGGCUGGCCAGCAUGUCUUCGAGCUUUGGCAGCAGCAGCCACCUUAGCACAGGAGAGCACAAAACUCACUUUUGGCCAACCCACUACCAUUCGCUCUCCCCACAGACUAAAGGACCUUUUGUCUCAUAAAUCCCUGUCUUCCCUUUCCCCUUCCCGCCUACAGCUGUUUCAUGUUACUUUUAUUCAAAACCCUGACUUUUCACUGGAAAGCUGCUCCCCGCUCAAUCCAGCUACCUUGCUUCCAUCCAAUUCUAACCCUCUUUCCCAUUCCUGUACAGAGACCUUGGAGGAAUUCACACCCCAUUUUACAGGUAUCUCGGAAACUCCUCUUCCUGACCCAGAAGACACCUGGUACAUCGAUGGCAGUUCCAUAUCUACCUCUUCAGGAAGCCGAGUUGCAGGCUAUGCCAUCGUUAAUAACUCUACCAUUCUUGAAAGCAGCCCUCUGCCCCCUAGCACUACCUCACAAAAGGCAGAACUUAUAGCUUUAACUAGGGCCUUAAUUCUAGCAAAGGGUCGGAAGAUUAAUAUUUAUACAGACUCAAAAUAUGCCUAUCAUAUUCUCCAUUCUCAUGCAGCAAUCUGGAAGGAGCGUGGCUUCCUGACCACCAAAGGGACUCCCAUUACUAAUGCCUCACUUAUUCUUAAACUAUUAGAAGCUGCUUCCCUUCCCCAGCAGGUAGCGGUCAUCCACUGCAGAGGACACCAGACAGGAUUGGAUGCCAUUACAGUCGGCAAUUCAAAAGCAGACCGGGAGGCAAAGCUAGCAGCCCAGAGACAACUCCAGGGACAACUUCCAGCUCCCUUGCUACUGGUAUUGCCUUCAAUUCAACCCUCUUAUACCCCACAGGAGCUCGAGGAACUUACGCACCAGGGAGCCUCCCAGGAAGCACAGGGAUGGUGGUCCCUGGAAGGACGAGUUGUUCUUCCCGAGGCACAAGCAGACAGCUUUCUUUCCCAGGUUCACCAGGCGCUGCACAUUGGAUACAAGCCUCUCUCCCACCUUCUUAAACCUUUAAUCCAUUGCCCUAGCCUAACUACUCGACUAAAGGCUAUUACCCAAGCCUGCCCCACAUGUUCUCUUACCUCCUCACAGGGUGGUCUCCGACCAGCUGCAUUCCCCACACACCAAGCACGGGGACAUACCCCAGGGGAAGACUGGCAGAUAGACUUCACUCACAUGCCCAGAUGUAAGCGGCUGAAAUACCUUCUAACUAUGGUUGAUACCUUUUCAGGAUGGAUUGAAGCCUAUCCCACAACGUUGGAGACUGCUGACACUGUUGCCUCUGUCCUUAUUAAAGAAAUUAUUCCUAGGUUUGGCUUACCCAGGUCACUUCAGUCUGACAAUGGACCUGCUUUCAUCUCCAAAGUGACCCAACAGGUGGCAUCCUCUCUAAACAUCCAGUGGAAUCUUCACAUUCCUUAUAGACCUCAGUCUUCUGGAAAGGUUGAAAGAGCUAAUGCGCUCCUCAAAACACAACUUACUAAACUUUCUCUAGAGCUCCAGAAAUCCUGGCCAGAACUGUUACCCCUGGCGCUCACCCGCUUACGUGUUUCUCCCCGCAGCCCUACUUUCCUCAGCCCCUUUGAGUUAAUGUAUGGAAGACCUUUUCUCCUAGGUAAUUUCCCUACUGACAAUGCCAAGACUCCACUAAUAGACUACCUUCCUGUCCUAACCUUUCUUAGGCACAUGCUGCGCCAACAUGCUGACCAGUGUCUCCCUCAGCCUCAUCAAGGCCCCUUUCCCACUCCCCCAAUUUUGCCUGGUGAUCAAGUGUUUCUCAAGACCCUUAAUCCAUCUGGUUUACACCCUAAGUGGACAGGCCCUCACCAGGUUCUGCUGACAACCCCCACCGCAGUCAAGCUCAAUGGACAGCCCCAGUGGAUUCACCUGUCAAGAAUAAAAAGGGCUCCUGUUCCUGCCCCUUCUAUACCAACCCUGACCUCCAGGUACACCUGUUCCCCCCUCGGGCCUACCAAGGUAAGGCUGUCUCGCAUCCCUGAAGAUCCGGGUGAGUAAAACUGAGCUAACUGCUCUCCUCCCCAAAGACCUCACUAUCUCAUCCCUUAGGACACCUCCAAGCCAUGGACAUCCAAUCUUUUCUUUCCAGUAAUAUAUUUGCUUUUCAUCUUUGUUCAGCCCCCUGCCUGAGAAGACUUCCUCCAGACUUCAUCUAAGAGACUCGCUUCUUGCAGACAUCAUGGAACUGGCAGACCUGGAAGCAGUCACCUUCUACUAGGUCACCCCUCUUCCUCCCCCCCCCCUUUCCUUUUUCAGCCAUGCUUCUCCACCAUGCUGGGUGGGGGCAACAGUUCAGUCAAAUUAACUUCUUUUCCUGCCUGAAUAGUGCAUGGUGUUCUUUUCAUCAGCUAAUUUCCUAACCACCCCUUUUUUGUGAACUGAACUGCCUUGACACUAUGCGAGAUUUUUCACCGAUACCAUUUCUGGCCUUCACAUCCACGUCCACACCACUUCUCUACUCUGGUUUCCGUCAAUGCCUCAUAAAACUUCUCCAGACUUCGUCCAAGAGACUUGCCUCCUCCAAACUUCAUCGAAGGACUCAACACCCAAGUGACAGCUGCAGCCUGCUGCCUUCUCCCAGCAUGGACCACAUCCCAGCCUUUUACCCCUACGACGCCCUUUGCCAGCAGGAAGUA
Molecule: RNA transcript, 4848 nt
Organism: Dipodomys spectabilis (banner-tailed kangaroo rat)
Lineage: Eukaryota; Metazoa; Chordata; Mammalia; Rodentia; Heteromyidae
Exons: 2
Source: RefSeq, a predicted model, not a curated record